GGCGGGGUAGCUCAGUCGGUUAGAGCAGGGUCUUCAUAAGGCCAAGGUCGGCGGUUCAAGUCCGCCCCCCGCUA
This 74-nucleotide transfer RNA is filed under the name Gemmataceae bacterium. Its description in RNAcentral is "tRNA-Met". It matches the Rfam family "tRNA". From Rfam's summary of the family: Transfer RNA (tRNA) molecules are approximately 80 nucleotides in length. Their secondary structure includes four short double-helical elements and three loops (D, anti-codon, and T loops). The record is from RNAcentral. Lineage: Bacteria; Pseudomonadati; Planctomycetota; Planctomycetia; Gemmatales; Gemmataceae.